Molecule: long non-coding RNA, 542 nt
Filed under: Androctonus crassicauda
Lineage: Eukaryota; Metazoa; Arthropoda; Arachnida; Scorpiones; Buthidae
Source: RNAcentral
GUCUACGGCUAUUGUUACUUUCUGUUUUCAAAUUAAAUGUAAAUAAAACAGGAUGAGAAACAAUAUUGUAUAAAAACAGCGGAGAGCUCGUUCGUGAGAAUGGAAGCUACAAUAAAUAUCGACACGUCAUCCAGAGCCGAGGAUAUAAACUAAUGAAUUACAUUUCAAAGAGACAGAAGAAGCUCCGACUAGAAAAAGCAAAAGAUUCCCAGCGAACCAGGUACGACGCGGGCGGUCGUCGGGUCGUCCCCGUCCGAAAGGGGAGCUCCGACAUUGACGAACCGACCCGGCGAUAUCAUAAAAGUCAUAUCAAAUACGAUCACAAGUCAACUGGCUAUCCUCGGGAUCAAGAACAGCCUCUAUCGAAGAUUCAAAUCCAAAGGUAAUAUCAGCCCUCCGAGGUACUAGUCGACCGUAUUCGAUUACGUUGAUUUCUCCUGUUUUUCUCGUUCAUCCAUAUUUCGUACUUUUGUUAAUCUAGUGUUAGACAUUUCCGUUUUAGUAGAUUUUGUACAUCAUUUCUUUGCUGUAAAUAAACUGCU